Molecule: long non-coding RNA, 4864 nt
Organism: Diceros bicornis minor
Lineage: Eukaryota; Metazoa; Chordata; Mammalia; Perissodactyla; Rhinocerotidae
Exons: 5
Source: RefSeq, a predicted model, not a curated record
UUGCCCGGGCUUUAGCCUGCCAGGGCCUCCUUCUCUGGCGUCCGCUACACAACUGCGGUGAGGGAGUCAGGCAUAGUUCGGGCAGAAGAAGAAAGAGCGAGUACGCGAAGAGCUUUGAUGUCGAGGUUACUAAGGUUUCUUUUCACGUGCUUCGAGAGAAAGAAGCCUUUUAACUGUGGAGAGAGACCCUCGGGAACGGGGGAGAGGGAGAGCAGUAGUAGCCGGAGGAAUAAGCUUGCGACAGGUUAUCAUUUGUUGAGCUGUAGAUGCCUAAGAUCAAAGCAGCCUGGAAUGCUGAGUCAUCCCGUGGAGGAAAAUUGCCCAGAGAGUCAUUUGGACCUGUAGCAAACUUUGAGCAAGAAGAAACACAAAAAAGAAAAAACCUUCGUCAUGACCCAAACAUGAGUUCAUGAAUCUGGCUCUGGAACAUCUGCCAGAGGGACACGCACUGUAUCACCCCCAAUCGCCCCUGUCCACCAACAACUAAGCCUUGUUACUGGGUCAGCUCUUUAAGCCUGCUCCUUCUUGCUUUAGAAUGAACUCUCUCUCUCCCAGGAGGCUCCUCAGUCAUUAAACAGACUUCUGUUUAGCCUGGCCCAUCAGUGCCAGUGCCUGGACACAUCUCAAUGCCAAAUAGACACAACUUGACCUCAACCCAGGAGGCCCACCAUCAUUAACUCAGCGUGGCCUUACACUGUGAUCAGUGCGGCUCCUGGGUAUCAAGGCCAGUCAGAAAUGGAUUUCUCUUUAUGAUAAGCAUUCCUGACUCACCUGCUCACAGAGGCUGUUGGAUGACACUUACCCCGACUGAACAGAGGGACCAGUGCCCACGUGAGAAUUGUUAGCAAAUCUGUCGUAGAGGAACAGCAGCAUAACAUCAGCAGAUCCUGGACAUUGCUGGAUAAUUCUCCUCAUCAUUUUGCGCAUCUUAGAGGAAAAUAAUGAUCAUACCUCAUUCUGGACAUCAAGUUCUUCUUCCAUCAGCACUGCUUCCAUUAAUUCAAGAGGAUCUUUACUGUCUUGGAUGAGAGAGAUCUUGACAAAGAGCACACAGAGAAUAUUUAUUAGAAAUAUAAUAGCAUCGACCCACCUGAUACUCCACUGAAAAUGAUUUGAAGCUUUGCUGGUGCUUCUCAUCUAUAAUCUACAUACUUCACAAUCCUUUUCAGCUUUCUUGUCCUUUUACAUUUCCCACUUAGAAUUUCCCCUAUACCAUUUAUUCACAGUCAAGUGUGAACUGGUCUAGUUCUCCAUCGUCUAACCUCCUUUUCAGCUCUCUUCCCCAAUCUCUGAAGCGUGUGCCUCUUAACGAGUCACCCUGUCUGCCUAAGUGAUUCAGCAGUCAAUAGUGUUUUUCUUUCAACGGCUAAGCUAAGAGCACUUAGUACAGCAUUGAGCAUGCAGUGAAGGCCCACUGAAAGGCUCGUGACCAAUGACAAUAAACAGUCCCAAGUUGAAUUGGAUGGAAAUUAAUUUUAUUGACGAUUGAAACCAAUGUCUAUGGACCUAGUUGGUUGUUCUGGAAAGUUAUGCUUUUUAGUGGUAGUAUGUAAUUUAAUCUUCUACACAGAGGAAACCAAUAACAGUUUAGGCUUUGUCUUAUGCAUAAAGAAUGAGAUUCCCAAAGCAACUCCAAAUGUAUAUCAAGGCAAAAGUGACAUUUCAAAGUGCUUUUUAGUCACUUUUCAUCUCACAAAUAAAUAGCCCAGUUCUCUUUACUAGUGUGGAAAUGAAUUAGAAACUUAAGUCCCUGUGCACGUGGUCAUGACGAAAUGGGAAAGUUAGAGGAUAGGUGUGGACUACAAGUGGAGGCUGUCCUGGGAUAGUCCUUGUGAUGGUCAAUAAAGGGAUAGGGAGAGGGUCAUAUCACUGCAUCCACAGUAUCCAUAAUACAUGUUACCCUUCCUGAAGAAAAGGAAAGCACCACACAUGAGAUUUAUCAUCAUUUACCAUACAUCUACCGUAUAUAGGGCUUUGUGCUAGACACUGAGGGUACACACAAGUAUAUGGUUCCGACGUGACAGGCCACCAGUAGUGCUCAACCCUCAAUCCAAUGAACCAGUAAGUGUAUAAUACAAGCACUCAAUUAUACUCGGUCUGACAUUUGUUCAGGGGGAAAAAAUCCAUCCCAGCCAUUCACAGUGCCUCCCUGAUUGCGAAGACCAUUGAGUCUAACACUGGUAGAGGCACUCUUGGUUAGUGGUUUUUGUGACAUUCAUGGGAUCUGAGAUCUUGGAUCAGAAUAGGGUGUAAACAAAUAACAAUUUUCAUGUUGAGAAAGAACUUGACACCUUGGUUCUAUUUUACUUUUAAUGUGGAGUCUUUUUUAGCUUCUUUAUAUGAUCCUGCUUUGUUGUUGUUACCUAUGGGUUAGAAUUUUAGAUUAGAAAGAAAAAGGUUUGAAUUUUCAAAGAUUAGCAUCUUGCAGUAGCUUUUUUGUUUUUUUUAGAUUUGUGAUUUUACUACUUUUCUUUUUUUCCUUAUUUGUAUUUAAAAUCCACAUCUUGGUAUUUAGGACAAGUAUUUUCUCCAGCAGCAUUAAGCAAAACAAUUUCUCCACUAACAAUAGCUGAAAAGAAUAAUGUGCUAUUGUUUUCUAAAUUAGUUUUACUUCAAACAUUAACUUCCAAUCUAUAAUAAGAACCUACUUAUCCUAAUUUUAGGAAAAAAAAGGAAGCAAUCCAAAACACAGGAGACUGUGUCACUGGAAUAAUUAUUGUUGUUAUUUUUAUGGGUAUUUGUUUUAGUUUCCCAGAUUCACUGUGAAAGGGUCCAUGAGAGAUGAAGUUCUUGUACCAGGCCCACCAGUGGGCCCAGCCCAAUGGCCCAGACCAGAAUGCUCAACUCUCCUGGGUAUUUGACAGCAGAAUUGACAGAAUGAGGAGGCGCAAGGGAAAUCACUAUCUUUUCUGUUUUGUGGGGAAUAAUUAACUCUGGGCUGAUUCAUGGCUUUUAAUUUUUUUUUUUCUUUUUCAAAAAUCACUUAUGACCUAAUGGAUCCUAUUUAAAGACAUAUAUAAUCAAGAGUUUCCAGUUUGUUGAGAAUUUAAAUUGCAUUUGUACAUACAAAUCACAGAAGAUCCAAGAUUGAGUGCCUGUGUUCUAAAACGGCACUACAGCUAAUGCCUAUUUUCCUCAGUAAAUCCACACAUUGUAGAAUUGAUAGUACCAGGUACUAGAACUAGGUGCUUUUCUCUAAACUAUCAUAUUUAGUCUUCGUAUCUACCCAGCAAGGUAAAUGUUUUUACUCCCAUUUUACUGAUGAGAAAACUGAGGCUCUGAGAAGUUAAGCAGAUGGCUUCAAAUCCCACUAGGUUGGGAUUCAAACCUAGAUUUGUGGAAUUUUUGCCAUUUACAGAAGUCAUGAUAGUUUAGGAACGAUACAUAUAUAGAAAGGUUAAAUAUUUACCGUUUCUAAAAUGGAAUCUUGAACCUCUCGGGAUUUUGCCUGGUUCUGUACGUGGAGGACAGCAUCAUGGACAGUCAAAAAGAAUAUGUCCUUUCUGAUGUUAUCAUCAAAGAAACCACAUUUCUCCAGUUUUUCUGUCACAUGAUCUUCAAAAGAAAGAGAUAAUGUUUAGUUAGUCUCUAGGAAAAUAUAUUUUUAUAAUAACCAAUUCUAAGUUUUGGUAGUUCCUCCUUUUAACUCUUCUUUCUCAUUUCCAAAAUGUGACUCUGCUCUAAACUGACUGCGUUUCUUUUCCAGUAGCACAUGGAAUGGUUAUAUCACAGCUGGUUUAGCAGAUGGCCUUGGCUCCUGACCAGGGCCCUUUUGCCAUUGUACCCAUCCUCCAGCUGCUGUGAGCCUGGCUGCUAAUGGUUCACAGCUGUGCCCUUCUCGGGAGAACUUUCCUUGGCGGAUGGGAGCCUCCUCACCUGAAAAAGCCUGGGAGGUUACAGCCCUACCCUUGGGUGGCCGGCAGCCACUGACUGACUGAUGUGGGGGUAACAAGGCCAUCCCUCUUGCCUCAGGAGGCAUAACCUUCUGUGUGUGUGCUCUGUGGGAUCAGGCUAACUGAAUCAGGCUAGACUUCCAAAACUGUGUCUUUUUGCAGCUUCUUGCCCUGCCCUAUCCUGCUCUCCUCACUUCAUCGUGAAUUUUCUCAGAGUGUACCCUCUCAAUAAAUCACUUGGGCAAGAAUCUUUAUCUCAGGCUCUGCUUUUGGAGAACUCAGCCUAAGCACUAAUAUUUUCCUACACACAUACACUCAUACAUGGACACAGACUCAUACCCUGCAGGAUCCUCUAGUUCUAAGGGAUCUAAGUCAUCUCUAGCUCUGCUCUCUCCAUGAUCAUUUUUCCCCGUUGAUCCUGCACCACUGUCAGGACAUAGGUUCCCAUGCAUUAACAGCUCUGUGGCACAGAUUGGAAGUAAUAUCUCUCUCAGUUCAAAAAGGCCCUCAGAGUGAUUGCUUAAUGGAUAGAGUUUCUGUUUGUGGUGAUGAAGAAUUUUGGAAAUACGUAGAUAGAUGGUUGCACAACACUGUGAAUGUACUUAAUGCCACUGAAUUCAUUGUACACUUGAAUGUGACUAAAAUGGCAAAUUUUAUGUUAUACAUCUUUUACCAUAAUAAAAAAUAGUUUUUUUUAAAAAAACGCCUUUGGACAUCAUGUACCCACAUUCCAAGGUAGGAGGAAAGUCUUAGAGGAAAGUCUUAUAGAUAGAUAGAUAGAUAGAUGUAUAUGCAUUUACCUUGAAGCGAUGCAAAGUACACGUUUACAUCAAUUCUUUGGAAUUCUCUGACAACCUAAAAUAUUAGAAAGGAGAUUUGUAACAAUGAGUAACUUUAUCUGCCCAUAAUUCAGUCGCAAUCAGUUACUUGCUCGGGAGCAACUUCAACACUUUCAUGGUUAAUCAGGACUU